RNAcentral lists this signal recognition particle RNA (264 nucleotides) under Candidatus Dormiibacterota bacterium. RNAcentral describes it as "signal recognition particle sRNA large type". It matches the Rfam family "Bacterial large signal recognition particle RNA". Rfam says of the family: The signal recognition particle (SRP) is a universally conserved ribonucleoprotein involved in the co-translational targeting of proteins to membranes. Lineage: Bacteria; Bacillati; Candidatus Dormiibacterota. The record is from RNAcentral.
CCGCGCUAGAUGGGGAGCUGGCGGUUCCCUGCACCGGCAAUCCGCCACAGCCGGGUCGAAUUCCCCGCCGAGGUCCAGCCUUUCAGUACGGGCCGGGGUGGAAAGCGUUGAAGGUCGGGACCUGCGCAGCCCGGGUCUUCGAACCCCGUCAGGUCCGGAAGGAAGCAGCGGUAAGGAGGCAACCCGGGGGUGCCGCAGCAAUCCUGGCCGGAGCUGGAAGCUCGGGUGCCGCUGGGAGCGCUGUGGUCGACGCGGGGUGCGCGG